UACGUAGGUGACAAGCGUUGUCCGGAUUUACUGGGCGUAAAGCGCGUGUAGGCGGCCAUCUAAGUCGGGCGUGAAAUCCCACGGCUCAACCGUGGAAGUGCACUCGAAACUGGAUGGCUAGAGUCCUGGAGAGGAAGGUGGAAUGCUUGGUGUAGAGGUGAAAUUCGUAGAUAUCAAGCGGGAACACCGGUGGCGAAGGCGGCCUUCUGGACAGUGACUGA
RNAcentral lists this ribosomal RNA (221 nucleotides) under uncultured bacterium. Its description in RNAcentral is "partial 16S ribosomal RNA". It matches the Rfam family "Bacterial small subunit ribosomal RNA", at positions 524 to 743 of the family's 1533-position model. The record is from RNAcentral.